CGCCCGUACUAUUUGAUCAAUUCUAAAUCCUAGACCUUCUUGUGCAUUAUCAUUUGAAAUAUGGUUCUUCAUCAUAACAGCUAUAUCUGUUGGUGAAGCUCCGGCAAGCUCAAACUUCUCAACUGCAAUUUCCAAACAAUCUUGCCAGACUGGCAGCCCUAGUUUGAAUUCCAUAAUUGAUCGCUCAUAGAGUAUGGUUC
This 200-nucleotide unclassified non-coding RNA is filed under the name Hevea brasiliensis (rubber tree). The record is from RNAcentral. Lineage: Eukaryota; Viridiplantae; Streptophyta; Magnoliopsida; Malpighiales; Euphorbiaceae.